This 398-nucleotide ribosomal RNA is filed under the name Enterococcus faecalis. RNAcentral's name for it is "bacterial SSU rRNA". It matches the Rfam family "Bacterial small subunit ribosomal RNA", at positions 1 to 377 of the family's 1533-position model. Lineage: Bacteria; Bacillati; Bacillota; Bacilli; Lactobacillales; Enterococcaceae. RNAcentral also lists the same sequence under 1 other name. The record is from RNAcentral.
UAUUAUGAGAGUUUGAUCCUGGCUCAGGACGAACGCUGGCGGCGUGCCUAAUACAUGCAAGUCGAACGCUUCUUUCCUCCCGAGUGCUUGCACUCAAUUGGAAAGAGGAGUGGCGGACGGGUGAGUAACACGUGGGUAACCUACCCAUCAGAGGGGGAUAACACUUGGAAACAGGUGCUAAUACCGCAUAACAGUUUAUGCCGCAUGGCAUAAGAGUGAAAGGCGCUUUCGGGUGUCGCUGAUGGAUGGACCCGCGGUGCAUUAGCUAGUUGGUGAGGUAACGGCUCACCAAGGCCACGAUGCAUAGCCGACCUGAGAGGGUGAUCGGCCACACUGGGACUGAGACACGGCCCAGACUCCUACGGGAGGCAGCAGUAGGGAAUCUUCGGCAAUGGACG